GAUGAACGCUGGCGGCGUGCCUAAUACAUGCAAGUCGAGCGAACAGACGAGGAGCUUGCUCCUUCGACGUUAGCGGCGGACGGGUGAGUAACACGUAGGUAACCUACCUAUAAGACUGGGAUAACUUCGGGAAACCGGAGCUACUACUGGAUAAUAUUUCGAACCGCAUGGUUCGAUAGUGAAAGAUGGCUUUGCUAUCACUUAUAGAUGGACCUGCGCCGUAUUAGCUAGUUGGUAAGGUAACGGCUUACCAAGGCAACGAUACGUAGCCGACCUGAGAGGGUGAUCGGCCACACUGGAACUGAGACACGGUCCAGACUCCUACGGGAGGCAGCAGUAGGGAAUCUUCCGCAAUGGGCGAAAGCCUGACGGAGCAACGCCGCGUGAGUGAUGAAGGUCUUCGGAUCGUAAAACUCUGUUAUUAGGGAAGAACAAACGUGUAAGUAACUGUGCACGUCUUGACGGUACCUAAUCAGAAAGCCACGGCUAACUACGUG
Molecule: ribosomal RNA, 497 nt
Filed under: uncultured bacterium
Lineage: Bacteria
Description: partial 16S ribosomal RNA
Rfam family: Bacterial small subunit ribosomal RNA
Source: RNAcentral